AAAUGAAUAGACGGGGGCCCGCACAAGUAGCGGAGCAUGUGGUUUAAUUCGACGCAACGCGAAGAACCUUACCUGGGCUUGACAUCCCAAGAAUCCUGUGGAAACACGGGAGUGCCCUUCGGGGAACUUGGAGACAGGUGGUGCAUGGUUGUCGUCAGCUCGUGUCGUGAGAUGUAGGGUUAAGUCCCGUAACGAGCGCAACCCUUGUCAUUAGUUGCUACCAUUAAGUUGAGCACUCUAAUGAGACUGCCUGGGCAACCAGGAGGAAGGUGGGGAUGACGUCAAAUCAUCAUGCCCCUUAUGUCCAGGGCUACACACGUGCUACAAUGGUUGGUACAAAGAGAAGCGAGACCGCGAGGUGGAGCCAAUCCCAUAAAACCAAUCUCAGUUCGGAUUGUAGGCUGAAACUCGCCUACAUGAAGCUGGAGUUACUAGUAAUCGCGAAUCAGAAUGUCGCGGUGAAUGCGUUCCCGGGCCUUGUACACACCGCCCGU
RNAcentral lists this ribosomal RNA (494 nucleotides) under uncultured bacterium. RNAcentral's name for it is "bacterial SSU rRNA". It matches the Rfam family "Bacterial small subunit ribosomal RNA", at positions 903 to 1397 of the family's 1533-position model. The record is from RNAcentral.